RNAcentral lists this ribosomal RNA (1528 nucleotides) under Klebsiella pneumoniae CHS 62. Its description in RNAcentral is "bacterial SSU rRNA". It matches the Rfam family "Bacterial small subunit ribosomal RNA". The record is from RNAcentral. Lineage: Bacteria; Pseudomonadati; Pseudomonadota; Gammaproteobacteria; Enterobacterales; Enterobacteriaceae.
AGAGUUUGAUCAUGGCUCAGAUUGAACGCUGGCGGCAGGCCUAACACAUGCAAGUCGAGCGGUAGCACAGAGAGCUUGCUCUCGGGUGACGAGCGGCGGACGGGUGAGUAAUGUCUGGGAAACUGCCUGAUGGAGGGGGAUAACUACUGGAAACGGUAGCUAAUACCGCAUAAUGUCGCAAGACCAAAGUGGGGGACCUUCGGGCCUCAUGCCAUCAGAUGUGCCCAGAUGGGAUUAGCUUGUAGGUGGGGUAACGGCUCACCUAGGCGACGAUCCCUAGCUGGUCUGAGAGGAUGACCAGCCACACUGGAACUGAGACACGGUCCAGACUCCUACGGGAGGCAGCAGUGGGGAAUAUUGCACAAUGGGCGCAAGCCUGAUGCAGCCAUGCCGCGUGUGUGAAGAAGGCCUUCGGGUUGUAAAGCACUUUCAGCGGGGAGGAAGGCGGUAAGGUUAAUAACCUCAGCGAUUGACGUUACCCGCAGAAGAAGCACCGGCUAACUCCGUGCCAGCAGCCGCGGUAAUACGGAGGGUGCAAGCGUUAAUCGGAAUUACUGGGCGUAAAGCGCACGCAGGCGGUCUGUCAAGUCGGAUGUGAAAUCCCCGGGCUCAACCUGGGAACUGCAUUCGAAACUGGCAGGCUAGAGUCUUGUAGAGGGGGGUAGAAUUCCAGGUGUAGCGGUGAAAUGCGUAGAGAUCUGGAGGAAUACCGGUGGCGAAGGCGGCCCCCUGGACAAAGACUGACGCUCAGGUGCGAAAGCGUGGGGAGCAAACAGGAUUAGAUACCCUGGUAGUCCACGCCGUAAACGAUGUCGAUUUGGAGGUUGUGCCCUUGAGGCGUGGCUUCCGGAGCUAACGCGUUAAAUCGACCGCCUGGGGAGUACGGCCGCAAGGUUAAAACUCAAAUGAAUUGACGGGGGCCCGCACAAGCGGUGGAGCAUGUGGUUUAAUUCGAUGCAACGCGAAGAACCUUACCUGGUCUUGACAUCCACAGAACUUAGCAGAGAUGCUUUGGUGCCUUCGGGAACUGUGAGACAGGUGCUGCAUGGCUGUCGUCAGCUCGUGUUGUGAAAUGUUGGGUUAAGUCCCGCAACGAGCGCAACCCUUAUCCUUUGUUGCCAGCGGUCCGGCCGGGAACUCAAAGGAGACUGCCAGUGAUAAACUGGAGGAAGGUGGGGAUGACGUCAAGUCAUCAUGGCCCUUACGACCAGGGCUACACACGUGCUACAAUGGCAUAUACAAAGAGAAGCGACCUCGCGAGAGCAAGCGGACCUCAUAAAGUAUGUCGUAGUCCGGAUUGGAGUCUGCAACUCGACUCCAUGAAGUCGGAAUCGCUAGUAAUCGUAGAUCAGAAUGCUACGGUGAAUACGUUCCCGGGCCUUGUACACACCGCCCGUCACACCAUGGGAGUGGGUUGCAAAAGAAGUAGGUAGCUUAACCUUCGGGAGGGCGCUUACCACUUUGUGAUUCAUGACUGGGGUGAAGUCGUAACAAGGUAACCGUAGGGGAACCUGCGGUUGGAUCACCU